GCGAGAGAACCGUGUUUCUCUGGAGUCAAGCGUCCGUCUGGAACUUGCACACUCCUCAUUUCGGAACACGAUGGUCCGAUCCGUCAGACACACCAGUAUCAGAAAAACAAAACAUUCAGGAACCGAGCCCUGAGAUGUAAGCUCAGUGUUUUUCCACGUCUGGUUUUCCACUUUGCUGGAAGCCACGUGCCGGGACGAAAAAGGGAGAGGUGGAAAGUGCAGACUCCGGGCAAAGCAAUUAACCUCGGGUGGAGGAGGUGACAGAAGCACGUGUGACACCUGAUCGGCUGUUGGAGAUGUGACCAGAGGCCCCAGGAACCUGACCCACCGUGUUCUCAGGAGCCGUGCUGCCACCCACCAAUUCAGCGUCCACAGUGACCUCACGAACAGAGCUGCCACCGGCAACAUGAAUCCACCAUGCUGAUUUCAGGAUGAGAUGCUUAAGUGAGAAGGAAGAACUGCCUGGAAGAUUCUGGAAGGUUCUGGAAGAUUCUGGAAGGUUCUAGAAGAUGGCCAGCCAGCAUCUGCUCGGAGGCUUUGAAAGGUCUCACAAAUGCCGAGAAACCCGCCCAGCGCAGGAAGCUGUCCCGGGCAGUGAAACGAACGGGGAGGGCUUCUUUCUGACCGUGACCAGCCCUUCUGGGGAGCCACUGGGCAAUCCCCUCCCUGGGCGCCUCUCUCACAGGGUUCCCGUGCCAUUUCUCAGAAUGAAACUGGGCUGGCGGCUACCAUUCAUGCCCUCUGCCCUCUCGGGGCCUUGCAAUAAAAUCUAGCAGAUUCUGUGGGUUCCCAUCAAAGCCUGACCGUGAGGCACCAUAAAACCCCAGAGCAGCCGUCCCCUGUCCUACGCCGGAAAGCAGGUCCCACGCUGUCACUGCUGCCAUGGCUCAUUCCUUUUUUUUUCCUUUUUA
This is a long non-coding RNA of Hyaena hyaena (striped hyena), 911 nucleotides long. RefSeq lists it as uncharacterized. The transcript is spliced from 4 exons. The record is from RefSeq and is a predicted model, not a curated record. Lineage: Eukaryota; Metazoa; Chordata; Mammalia; Carnivora; Hyaenidae.